GAGGGUAUAGCUCAGUCGUAGAGUGCACAUUUAGCAUGCAUGAGGUCCUGGGUUCAAUCCCCGGUAUCUCUA
This 72-nucleotide transfer RNA is filed under the name Camelus bactrianus (Bactrian camel). It matches the Rfam family "tRNA". From Rfam's summary of the family: Transfer RNA (tRNA) molecules are approximately 80 nucleotides in length. Their secondary structure includes four short double-helical elements and three loops (D, anti-codon, and T loops). RNAcentral also lists the same sequence under 2 other names. Lineage: Eukaryota; Metazoa; Chordata; Mammalia; Artiodactyla; Camelidae. The record is from Rfam by way of RNAcentral.